This 247-nucleotide ribosomal RNA is filed under the name uncultured bacterium. Its description in RNAcentral is "partial 16S ribosomal RNA". It matches the Rfam family "Bacterial small subunit ribosomal RNA", at positions 526 to 779 of the family's 1533-position model. The record is from RNAcentral.
CGGAGGAUCCAAGCGUUAUCCGGAAUCAUUGGUUAAGGUCCGUAGGCGGCCCUGUAAGUCAGUGGUGAAAUCUCCGGCUCAACCGGGAAUUGCCAUUGAUACUGCAGGGCUUGAAUUAUUGGGAAGUAACUAGAAUAUGUAGUGUAGCGGUGAAAUGCUUAGAUAUUACAUGGAAUACCGAUUGCGAAGGCAGGUUACUACCAAUACAUUGACGCUGAUGGACGAAAGCGUGGUAGCGAACAGGAUU